Molecule: long non-coding RNA, 364 nt
Filed under: Brassica napus (rape)
Lineage: Eukaryota; Viridiplantae; Streptophyta; Magnoliopsida; Brassicales; Brassicaceae
Description: long non-coding RNA (BNAP_LNC006302)
Source: RNAcentral
AUAUAUACUUACAUAAAAUUAACGAAAUGUUAUUUUUAUUCUUGAAAUAAUUUUUUUAGUCGAGUUGAGUCCUUUUAAAAAUGUUUCAUGGCACAGUUUUGAGGUGCGACUCCGUUUGUAUUUGGUUAAUUUUUCUUAAUCAUUCUAAAGAUUUUAGUUUCUAUCAAUUUCAUCAAAAUAUAUGUAAUAACUCCAAAAUUUAAAUCUGAAAAUAUAUGUGAUGGUUCAAAGAAAAUGGUAUAUAGAUUGUGCGACCAUGUGGAAUAUAAUAAGUAUGUUGCGGUCUUGUGAAUUCGGGAAAUGCUAGAUUUUUAAGAGUUCAAAUCAGUGUUCAUUUUGAUAUUUAGCCUUUUUAAUUCUUAAA